GAUAUUUUCGAGGGAAAUGGAGUCCACACAGCAGGUAAGAUCAGAACUUGAUGCCAAGGCAAAGGAAGGAGAGGUGGUGAGAGCCUUGAAGCUCAGGAAUUCCUAGCUGAACAGAGGAGCCAUGGAGGACCGUCUACAAGGGACUUGCUAGAAACUGAAGGGUACAACAAGGAGGAGGCAGGCUGUGAAUUCAUACACCCCGCCAAGGAAGAACCUGUAGAAGAAGACCCUGGCCCAGAUGCAGGAAUUGAUGCUGACAAAUGCAGAGGAUGAUCCAUACCUUGACCAGGAACUGCCUGUUAUGGCUGCUUUCUCCUUUGUUUCUAUAUGUUUGUCAGGUCUCCUAAUAGAUAUGUUAGUAGCAUGAAGCACCAGUUCUGCUCUGCUGCAUGUAAAAAUAAACAGCCUGUUUGCUAGCAUCAUCCCGUUGAAACUUGUUGCCGUCUGUGUCAUCUCUUGUAACAUGGCAGUGUUUCAUUCUGUGUCAUCUCUUGUAACAUGGCAGUGUUUCAUGAGCUUCCACUAGGGUUGGAGAAAGAGCACAUGCAACAACUUUCUUGAAAUUACAAGACAGAAUCUAUUUUUCUGAAA
Molecule: long non-coding RNA, 591 nt
Organism: Populus nigra (black poplar)
Lineage: Eukaryota; Viridiplantae; Streptophyta; Magnoliopsida; Malpighiales; Salicaceae
Exons: 2
Source: RefSeq, a predicted model, not a curated record